This 253-nucleotide ribosomal RNA is filed under the name uncultured bacterium. RNAcentral describes it as "partial 16S ribosomal RNA". It matches the Rfam family "Bacterial small subunit ribosomal RNA", at positions 524 to 776 of the family's 1533-position model. The record is from RNAcentral.
UACGUAGGGGGCUAGCGUUGUCCGGAAUCAUUGGGCGUAAAGAGCGCGUAGGCGGCCAGGCAAGUCCGGUGUGAAAGUCACAGGCUCAACCUGUGAAUGCCGCUGGAAACUGUCUGGCUAGAGUCCGGAAGGGGCGAGUGGAAUUCCUGGUGUAGCGGUGAAAUGCGUAGAUAUCAGGAAGAACACCGGUGGCGAAAGCGCUCUGCUAGGCCGCAACUGACACUGAGGGACGAAAGCUAGGGGAGCGAAUGGG